GAGAAGCAGGCUCGAAAUUGGAUAAUUGCACACAUCGCACUUGGCAAAUUAUAAGAUCGUUGUUAGAGACCCUCGCGAUUGGCUGGCGCCUUCCCUGGGCUGGACCCGAUCCCCUCCGCGCCUACUCGCGAGUAAAGCGCUCUCUCUCUCUCUCCUUUCUCUUUUCUUUCCUUUCUCUCUCUCUUUCUUUUCUCCAGCUUUGAUGAAUCCUUUUGAUGAACUUUGAAUUCGCCUGGUCGGUGCUGGCUUCUUUCUUUUUCUCUCUCUCCUCCUUUCCUUCCUUCCUUCCUUCCUUCCUUCCUUCCUUCCUUCCUUCCUUCCUUCUUCUUUCCCCCUUCCCUUUUGGCCCCGGAGCGGGGUGUCUCCUGUCCCUUCUCUCUCUCUCUCUCUCUUUCUCUCUUUUUUCUCUCUCCUGUCCCUUUUUUCUCUCUCUUUCUCUCUUUUUCUUUCUCUUUUUCUCUCUCCUUUCUUUCUCUCUUUCUUUCUCUCUCUCUUUCUUUCUCUCUUUCUUUCUCUCUCUUCUCUCUCUCUCUCCUGUCUCUUUUCUCUCUUUUUUUUCCUCUCUCUCUCUUUUUCUCUCUUUCUUUCUCUCUCACUCUCUCUCUCUUUCUUCCCCCCCCCACCUCCAAUGGCCCAUCGCCGCCCCCACCCCGAAGUCGGCGUGGCUGGCCCAAAGAAGGAGCGCGCGACCUCCUUGGCAAAGGAUCCCGGGAUCUGCCUUAUGAAAAGUCUACUCAGGAGGAAGCCCCGACGCCGGACCGAAUGGAACGGGGGAUGGGGGGGUCUCUCGCCUCCUCCCCCGGGUCGAAGAACUGAACCGCCCGCUCUUUUUUCCCUGAAGGAAUUGCGGAGAAGGGGGUCCCACCUAGAGAUGGGGGAGAAAAGGGAAACAAAAAUGCCUUAGGAAGACGAGGGGUUUUUUUUUCCCCCGAUCCGCGGAGGAAUUGGAAUAAAAGGAAAAUCGGUUUAUAGCGUCGGAUAUUCUCCGCCGAGGGCGAAUGAGGACGCCGCUUGAUUUUCGGGCCGCCGUCGCCGUUCGGAAGAACCGUUUAACCCCGAGUCAAUGCCAAACCUUUAAGGGGAUGCCUUCCCACGAUUUACUCAAUCUGGAAUAAUGUAGAAGCGAAGGCGAAUCGCUGAUUUUAACCCAAAGCCGCCUCCGUUCGGUUGGAACUGCGGUUUAGUCCCGAGUAAACCUGGGGGGAAAUGGCCUGUCGGAAGCGACCGCGAUUUACUUGCGAGUUAAGAGCUCUUGGGAAUCUUCACUGAAAGGCAAAAGUUAACCCCAGGAGUUCAGAGGCCCCACUCUGGAUGUGCAAAGGGGAGCUUGUGAGCAGAGAAGCAACACCUGGCUGCGUUCACAAGACACGCCAGCCCAGCUCUCACGCUAGCGGAUUGGGGAAAGAGAUAAGAGAAAGAAGAACCAACAAUCCAGAACUAUCUAAUGUAAAUGGGUGGACAACAUUUUGCAGUGUAACUGGGUUUGUUUGUUUUUUUCUUAAUGGAGACCUGUAGAAUGGAAUUUUUUUUCCCCCAAAACUGGAAACCUUUUACAAAAAUAAAGUUUUUUUUUUUAAGUUGUGUCAAAUUUAAUUGGGCCAUACUGUGUUAUAAUAAUAAUUUUAAUUAGCAAUUUUAUGAUGUUUGUGUAUCUGUAUUUUUCUUGACUGUACACCGCCUUGAAUCCUACAGGAGAAAGGCGGUAUAGAAAUAUAAUAAAUAAAUAAAUA
Pantherophis guttatus is the source of this 1730-nucleotide long non-coding RNA. RefSeq lists it as uncharacterized. The record is from RefSeq and is a predicted model, not a curated record. NCBI's taxonomy places the organism in Eukaryota, Metazoa, Chordata, Lepidosauria, Squamata, Colubridae.